RNAcentral lists this unclassified non-coding RNA (2119 nucleotides) under Homarus americanus (American lobster). RNAcentral describes it as "queuosine salvage protein-like, transcript variant X1". The record is from RNAcentral. Lineage: Eukaryota; Metazoa; Arthropoda; Malacostraca; Decapoda; Nephropidae.
AUCAACAAGUGUCAGACUCGCUCCCGGUCGUCGACUGCCAACAUGUUGUGGCCGAGAGAUGCUGCUAAGUUAAUUGCCUCUAAAUCCCAGAAUGUCAGUAUUGUAAAUGAAGGAGUAAAGAAAGUGGCUAAUGUCAUCGCAGAGGCCGUGAGGGAUGGCAAGCUGGACAUGGAGGAGUUCAAACAGAAUGAAGUGUUGCCACUGAACAAGGGACUGACUAAGGCACAGCUUGCUGACUGGGUCUUCCUUAUUGACUCACUGAAUUUUAACUUUUGGACACCUCAUGGAGUCCCCAAGUACACCGUUGAGUAUGAAGGACAGAAAAGGAGUGGAUACUUGGCUAUGGUUUCUGCUGUCAACAGGGCUAUUGAUGAGGGGAAGAAGAUGUAUGACCCAAAGUUCUACUCCCAGCUUACUAUUGAAGACAUCAAACAUAUAUUCCGUUCUGACACUGCAUCAACAAUGCCACUGUUUGAAGACCGCGUUAAAGUGCUGAAAGAAGUGGGCGAUAAGCUUAUAGAAAAGUACGAUGGAACAUUUGUGAAUGUGUUACGGAAAGCAGAUGGCAGUGCUGUGAAGCUGAUUGACAUUGUGACAAGUGAAUUCCCAUGCUUCAAUGAUACUGCCACCUUUGAGGGACAGAAAGUGGCCAUUUUUAAAAGAGUGCAGAUUCUUGCCGCUGACUUGUGGAUGUUGUACCGUGGAGAAGGUCUGGGAGCAUUUACGGACAUAGAUUCACUCACCAUGUUUGCUGACUACAGGGUUCCUCAGGCCAUGGCAUAUUUUGGAGUACUGAAAUAUUCCGACAGCUUGAUGGAAAAACUCAAUAAAGAAGAGCUAUUUCAGUCUGGAGAUCGAGAAGAAAAGAGCCAGUUUUUGGAGUAUUCUGGAUACCAGGACAUUGGAUAAAUGAUCCCAUACCUGUACUGAAGAUUCCUAUGAAUGAGUACAGAUAUUGUGGGAUACGUCCAACUUGAUUCCCAUAAUCUUUCAGGUACAGUACUGUAAUUUAGAAUAUUGUGUUUUACUGAGGAUGAGCAAAUUUAUUUUUUAUUUUAUCAUGUCAAUUUGUUUUUUGAAAAUUUUAGUAUACAGUAAUUUGUUUAAAGUUUGUCACUAAUACUCCAUAAUUUAGCCAAUUAUAUACAGUAUAUCUACAUAGUCCCGUCCUGACAUACCUUACCUAACUUAAUCCUUGUCAUUACUUAUCAUUUAUUAGCCAACCUUCCAUUUAAGAUUUUCACACUUCCUGAAGGAUUAAAUAAUUGUCUUUAAAAAGUUCUAUCAUCAUUAUCAAAGUUAAAUCAUUAUCAUCAAAUGGUUAAAUCAUCAUCUUUAAAUGAUUAAACCAUCAUCCUUAAAGGAUCCUAUCAUCAUCCCCAAAGGGUUAAAUCUUGGUCCUCAUAAGAUUAAGUAUGUAGUAGUACUGUACAGGUAUAUGAUAGAGUAUUUGUUACCAUACUGUACCUUGUUAGAUAAGAUAACAGGAAACACGUGUCUUUGUUCCAGCACUGUACGAUGAGGUGGCUGUACAAAUGACAUUGAAGUCUCUACAAUAGCAAUUAAAGAGCUCAGUGGAUAUUAGGCCUUUAAUGACUUUCUUGGGCUAGCACUGGUUGAAACAACAUACUAUUAACCAUUGAUUGUGUACCUGCACAGUCUAUGUACAUGAUGAACCAAUGAAACAUGCACGAUAAUAUACAGUAUACUGUAUAAAUGUCGUUAUGUGUGGGUGUACGAUGUUUGGUUGUGGUCACAUGCAACUAUUUAUUGUCCCUUCCCACUGCCACUUACCGGCAAUAUUAUCAAAGUCGUUGAAAGCUUACUUCCACGGAGAUCCAUAAAGACUUUAGCUACAAGUGAAAUUUUUUGCUGAAACUUCUUUUUGAACUUCAAGAUUAACAAUGCAAGAUGGAUACUGUACUGAGGAAGGUACACAAGACAUAUAGUUCACAGCAGCAGUUCAGCUCAUUCAAGACACGGUUGACCUGUAGUUCAGUUACAAGACACCAGCGACACCACAUGUUGGUGGAAAGAGUGCUGUCUUUGUGUUAUGAACAGAAACUUAAUGCUGGCUGGAGAUUUUCAUUUAAUUUUGACAAAAGAUUUUAAGUUUGAU